UCAAGUCAAUAUUUAUUCUUGGAUUUCAUGUCUAGUUCAGCAGAAAAAAACUAAAGUUUUCCAAUUCUUUUAUAAUAUUGCAUUAUUGCCUUUGACAUUUCCAGUUCCAAUAGUAAACAUGCGGUGGCACUAUUUUUAUAAAUUUUAUCUCGGAUGUUACGAAUUGUGACGUCUAGUUUGUGACAUGAGCAUAUUGUAAUAAAAUUUAACUGGGGAAACAACUUGCACCAAUCAAGUUAUCUCAACUAUAAGUGUAACACCUCGUGCAUUUGGGUUAAGAUUUGACUCAUAAGACGGGGGUAUAAUGAAUCCAAUUUGAGUAGUGUAUAAAUGGUGUUUGAAACCCAAUUAAGACAUGAGAAGAGUCUUUGGGCAAAGUAAAGUUGAAAACCACUCUACGGGGCAUGUUUGCAAGUGAAUUUAUAGAAGGUAUUACUUCCAACGACCAUAACCCCUUUAUUAAUUAGGAAUUUGGGAAAAAUUCCUCUUUGAAAGUUGUAGAGAUUUGAAAUAGCUUUCCAACGGUAUAUUAUGGGGGUCAAACGGACAUCUGUUCAAAGAUUUAUGCCCAUUUUACUGAAGCCCAUCUUCGCUGGAAAUUCUACCUGUGUUACGGUGGACGUUACGGGCCGUAACACGUGUUACGGGACCGUAACAUGGAGCCGUAACGUCCCAAAAUUUUCCAUAAACUCACUGGAAAUUUUCACUAAGGAACGGUCCCAAGUUACGGUCCAUCCUUCGUGUUACGGGGCCGUAACAUGGGGCGUCCUUUGGUCCGUUAAGUACGUUUCGGGUCACUUGACUUCGAGAGGCCAUAACCCUAUCAUAAAUUGGGAAUUUGGGAAAACUCAAAGAAUUAAAGUUGUAGAUAAUUGAAAUACCUUUCCAACCAUAGGUCUUGGGCCUACAUGUGACAUCGAAAUAGGGAUAUAUGGACGUUUUAAUACAGAAAGGUCCCAACCCGAUUUCAAGUCGGGUCAAACCCAUUUCCCCUUGGUAUUUAAGGGAAAUGCUCAACCCUAGCAUCCCCAUUUUCUCAUAUUUUCAGAUUUUAGAGAUAGAUAGAGAGAGAGAGAGAGGAGAGUUAGAGAGAGAAAGUAGAGAAUCAACCAAGUUGAAGGCCCCGAAUCCCGAGGCUCGUGAAGGAUAAAGUGUUGUACAAGUUGUUGCCGUCGUUCUAAGCUAAAAAUCGAACUUGGGGAUGUUGUUUUCGUGGUGACUACUCAUAAAAGAUUGAAGUUGAAGGGAUUGAAGGACAUUGUGAUACGCUCAAAAGCGGGAAGUUAAGGUACGAACUUACAGGACGACGCCUCUGCUCAUUAGGAUCUGCACGUACCAGCUUAUUGGUGAGCCCCAUCUCAUUCGGGGUUUAGUUAACUUUUGUUUAUGAUUAGUUAUGCAUCUAAGGUAUGCUGGGGGCCUUGUUCCAACAAGUACGUUUUAUGUUCAGACUCUUGCUAGAGGUUUCAUAGACUAGGCAAGUCAGUUAUGUCAUGUCAGACAUUCGGAGUCGUAUAGCCAUUUUGGCUCAUUCAUGUUAUUUUCGCACUCAUGUUUAAACAAGUAUUUUAUUAAGCAUUAUGACUUACUGCGUUUUAUAAA
Molecule: long non-coding RNA, 1602 nt
Organism: Lycium barbarum (goji berry)
Lineage: Eukaryota; Viridiplantae; Streptophyta; Magnoliopsida; Solanales; Solanaceae
Exons: 3
Source: RefSeq, a predicted model, not a curated record